Molecule: ribosomal RNA, 1489 nt
Filed under: uncultured bacterium
Lineage: Bacteria
Description: bacterial SSU rRNA
Rfam family: Bacterial small subunit ribosomal RNA
Source: RNAcentral
AGAGUUUGAUCCUGGCUCAGGACGAACGCUGGCGGCGUGCUUAACACAUGCAAGUCGAACGGAAAGGCCCUGCUUUUGUGGGGUGCUCGAGUGGCGAACGGGUGAGUAACACGUGAGUAACCUGCCCUUGACUUUGGGAUAACUUCAGGAAACUGGGGCUAAUACCGGAUAGGAGCUCCUGCUGCAUGGUGGGGGUUGGAAAGUUUCGGCGGUUGGGGAUGGACUCGCGGCUUAUCAGCUUGUUGGUGGGGUAGUGGCUUACCAAGGCUUUGACGGGUAGCCGGCCUGAGAGGGUGACCGGCCACAUUGGGACUGAGAUACGGCCCAGACUCCUACGGGAGGCAGCAGUGGGGAAUAUUGCACAAUGGGCGGAAGCCUGAUGCAGCAACGCCGCGUGCGGGAUGACGGCCUUCGGGUUGUAAACCGCUUUCGCCUGUGACGAAGCGUGAGUGACGGUAAUGGGUAAAGAAGCACCGGCUAACUACGUGCCAGCAGCCGCGGUGAUACGUAGGGUGCGAGCGUUGUCCGGAUUUAUUGGGCGUAAAGGGCUCGUAGGUGGCUGAUCGCGUCGGAAGUGUAAUCUUGGGGCUUAACCCUGAGCGUGCUUUCGAUACGGGUUGACUUGAGGAAGGUAGGGGAGAAUGGAAUUCCUGGUGGAGCGGUGGAAUGCGCAGAUAUCAGGAGGAACACCAGUGGCGAAGGCGGUUCUCUGGGCCUUUCCUGACGCUGAAGAGCGAAAGCGCGGGGAGCGAACAGGCUUAGAUACCCUGGUGGUCCACGCUGUAAACGGUGGGUACUAGGUGUGGGGUCCAUUCCACGGGUUCCGUGCCGUAGCUAACGCUUUAAGUACCCCGCCUGGGGAGUACGGCCGCAAGGCUAAAACUCAAAGGAAUUGACGGGGCCCCGCACAAGCGGCGGAGCAUGCGGAUUAAUUCGAUGCAACGCGUAGAACCUUACCUGGGUUUGACAUGGAUCGGGAGUGCUCAGAGAUGGGUGUGCCUCUUUUGGGGUCGGUUCACAGGUGGUGCAUGGCUGUCGUCAGCUCGUGUCGUGAGAUGUUGGGUUAAGUCCCGCAACGAGCGCAACCCUUGUUCACUGUUGCCAGCACGUUAUGGUGGGGACUCAGUGGAGACCGCCGGGGUCAACUCGGAGGAAGGUGGGGAUGACGUCAAGUCAUCAUGCCCCUUAUGUCCAGGGCUUCACGCAUGCUACAAUGGCUGGUACAGAGAGUGGCGAGCCUGUGAGGGUGAGCGAAUCUCGGAAAGCCGGUCUCAGUUCGGAUUGGGGUCUGCAACUCAACCUCAUGAAGUCGGAGUCGCUAGUAAUCGCAGAUCAGCAACGCUGCGGUGAAUACGUUCCCGGGGCUUGUACACACCGCCCGUCAAGUCAUGAAAGUUGGUAACACCCGAAGCCGGUGGCCUAACCGUUGUGGGGGAGCCGUCGAAGGUGGGACUGGUGAUUAGGACUAAGUCGUAACAAGGUAACCAAG